AGGCUAGGUGGGGAAGAGAUGGAAUUUGCGGCCCGACAAUGAGAAUUUGAAACACCGAAAAACGUCUAACGAUAAACUAAAGAUGGUGCCGCUACGGUCGACCGUUCGGUUAUCAAACGGACUCCGAUUGCGAGGAAAUUUGGCAGGCGGCCUACCUACACUAGAGUAAGACCGCACGCCAACUUUUGACCCAAUCCGAGAAUAUUUUCUGGACACUUUUAAAAACAAUAUUUUAUGGAUGACGCGGGCGCGUGCGUGUAGUCGGGCUCAAAAUGGAAAACGUCGAACACGGAGAGAACCGGCAACUAAUAACGGGUGCAAGUUUUGAAACUGGCGGGAAUGGAGUGCUGAUGCAAUGCAGA
This 362-nucleotide long non-coding RNA is filed under the name Hordeum vulgare. RNAcentral describes it as "long non-coding RNA (HVUL_LNC007232)". Lineage: Eukaryota; Viridiplantae; Streptophyta; Magnoliopsida; Poales; Poaceae. The record is from RNAcentral.